UUUCCGUAGGUGAACCAGCGGAGGGAUCAUUACCGAGUUUACAACUCCCAAACCCCUAUGUGAACGUUACCAAACUGUUGCCUCGGCGGGAAAUUCAUGCCCCGGGCGCGUCGCAGCCCCGGACCAAGGCGCCCGCCGGAGGACCAACCAAAACUCUUUUGUAUGUCCCUCGCGGACUUUUAUAAUUCUGAACCAUCUCGGCGCCCCUAGCGGGCGUUUCGAAAAUGAAUCAAAACUUUCAACAACGGAUCUCUUGGUUCUG
This 262-nucleotide unclassified non-coding RNA is filed under the name plant metagenome. RNAcentral describes it as "partial contains small subunit ribosomal RNA, internal transcribed spacer 1, and 5.8S ribosomal RNA". The record is from RNAcentral.